UUGAGGCUGUUGAACAGAGACGAAACCGAUUUCAAAUCCUAAGAGUACAAAACUCUUGCAUUCAAAUGGUUUUAUCUAUUUAAGCUGCUCCCCCCUUUUCUUUCUUCAAACAAGUAGUUAAUUUGUUUUUUCGAAUUUACUCAAUUCUGUCGUAAUAGAGAUUAGCUCAGUUGCUAGCUGAUAAUAGCACAAGAGAUUAUGAUUUUUUUUACGAAGAGUACUUCCUCGCAUGAUGGCAAGAGUGUUGACCGGGAACAAGAACGUAAGUUCAACGAGCUUAAAGCUUCUGACACAGUGGAAGCACCUGCACAAAUCAUUGGUUCUCAGGCGACUAAAAAAAAGGGAGCUACAUGUGUUCUGAUUUAAGGAAUUGGAUAAGAACAGACGUGGGAGGUAAUUAGGGUGGCAGAACUUUUGGAACAGCAGGAUAUAUUAUUCAAAUGAGAAAAAUGCUGUAAUCCGUCAAAGGCUCAUAUUCUUCGAUUGAUUGAAAAAUGUAGUAAUCGUACAAGCAAAUGUAAGUUUAAUAUUCCGAUGCAUGUGAAAAAUUAGUAGACAAACAAAUAUAUUGUUGAGUUACGGGCUUGAUUCUGCCAACAUAUUAUGUAUGAUCUUUUUUGGUAUUAUAUAAGUGCAAUCAUAUC
Molecule: non-coding RNA, 644 nt
Organism: Erythranthe guttata (spotted monkey flower)
Lineage: Eukaryota; Viridiplantae; Streptophyta; Magnoliopsida; Lamiales; Phrymaceae
Source: RefSeq, a predicted model, not a curated record